UACGUAGGGAGCAAGCGUUGUUCGGAUUUACUGGGCGUAAAGGGCGCGUAGGCGGCGCGGUAAGUCAGGUGUGAAAUCUCGAGGCUCAACCUCGAAACUGCACUUGAUACUGCCUUGCUCGAGUACUGGAGAGGAGAUUGGAAUUUACGGUGUAGCAGUGAAAUGCGUAGAUAUCGUAAGGAAGACCAGUGGCGAAGGCGAAUCUCUGGACAGUUACUGACACUGAGGCACGAAGGCCAGGGGAGCAAACGGG
Molecule: ribosomal RNA, 253 nt
Filed under: uncultured bacterium
Lineage: Bacteria
Description: partial 16S ribosomal RNA
Rfam family: Bacterial small subunit ribosomal RNA
Source: RNAcentral